This 1789-nucleotide ribosomal RNA is filed under the name Mediterraneibacter gnavus. RNAcentral's name for it is "partial 23S ribosomal RNA". It matches the Rfam family "Bacterial large subunit ribosomal RNA", at positions 804 to 2619 of the family's 2925-position model. The record is from RNAcentral. Lineage: Bacteria; Bacillati; Bacillota; Clostridia; Lachnospirales; Lachnospiraceae.
AUGAGGUGUGGAUAGGGGAGAAAUUCCAAUCGAACCCGGAGAUAGCUGGUUCUCCUCGAAAUAGCUUUAGGGCUAGCCUCAUGCAAGUCUUACGGAGGUAGAGCACUGAAUUCCUAAGGGGGCGUCAAAGCUUACCAAGGGAUAUCAAACUCCGAAUGCCGUGUAGAUGGUGCAUGGGAGUCAGACUAUCCGAGAUAAGUUGGGUAGUCAAAAGGGAAAGAGCCCAGACCUACAGCUAAGGUCCCAAAAUGUGUGUUAAGUGGAAAAGGAUGUGGGAUUUCGAAGACAACUAGGAUGUUGGCUUAGAAGCAGCCAUCCAUUAAAAGAGUGCGUAAUAGCUCACUAGUCGAGAGGUCCUGCGCCGAAAAUGUCCGGGGCUGAAACACACUACCGAAGCUUGGGAAUUGACGAAUGUUAAUUGGUAGAGGAGCAUUCUUAACGGGGCGAAGCUGUACCGGAAGGAGCAGUGGACUGUUAAGAAGAGAGAAUGCCGGAAUGAGUAGCGAGAGGAAGGUGAGAAUCCUUCCGGCCGAAUAUCUAAGGUUUCCAGAGUAAAGCUGAUCUGCUCUGGGUAAGUCGGGGCCUAAGGCGAGGUCGAAAGACGUAGUCGAUGGAUAACAGGUAAAGAUUCCUGUACUAUAUCAUAACAGAACUGUGGGGACGCAGACAGAGAGCAUAAGCCGGGAAUGGAAAAACCGGUACAAGCGAGGUAGGAGUGCAUCAGGCAAAUCCGGUGCACAAUCUGAAGACGUGAUGUGGGGCGUAAAGCCGGAAGUAUGUGAGCUGGCUGCCAAGAAAAGCCGCUAUUGUUUAUGAUAUACCCGUACCGUAAACCGACACAGGUGGAUGAGGAGAGAAUCCUAAGGCCGACGGGAGAAGCAUUGUUAAGGAACUCGGCAAAAUGACUCCGUAACUUCGGGAGAAGGAGUGCCAUGUAAAAGUGGCCGCAGAGAAUUGGCCCAAGCAACUGUUUAGCAAAAACACAGGUCUAUGCAAAACCGAAAGGUGAGGUAUAUGGGCUGACGCCUGCCCGGUGCUGGAAGGUUAAGGGGAGAGGUUAGCCGUAAGGCGAAGCUUUGAACUUAAGCCCCAGUAAACGGCGGCCGUAACUAUAACGGUCCUAAGGUAGCGAAAUUCCUUGUCGGGUAAGUUCCGACCCGCACGAAAGGCGUAAUGAUUUGGGCACUGUCUCAACAAUGCACCCGGUGAAAUUGAAAUACCAGUGAAGAUGCUGGUUACCUGCGCCAGGACGGAAAGACCCCAUGGAGCUUUACUCCAGCUUGAUACUGGGAUUCGAUAUUGCAUGUACAGGAUAGGUGGGAGACUGAGAACUGAUGACGCCAGUUGUCAGGGAGUCACUGUUGGGAUACCACCCUUGUAGUAUUGGAUUUCUAACCAGCAGCCGUGAACCGGCUGGGGGACAAUGUCAGGUGGGGAGUUUGACUGGGGCGGUCGCCUCCGAAAGGGUAUCGGAGGCGCUCAAAGGUUCCCUCAGAAUGGUUGGAAACCAUUCGAAGAGUGCAAAGGCAGAAGGGAGCUUGACUGCGACACCGACGGGUGGAGCAGGUACGAAAGUAGGACUUAGUGAUCCGGUGGUAUAAAGUGGGAUUGCCAUCGCUCAACGGAUAAAAGCUACCCUGGGGAUAACAGGCUUAUCACUCCCAAGAGUUCACAUCGACGGAGUGGUUUGGCACCUCGAUGUCGGCUCAUCGCAUCCUGGGGCUGAAGUAGGUCCCAAGGGUUGGGCUGUUCGCCCAUUAAAGCGGUACGCGAGCUGGGUUCAGAACGU